Long non-coding RNA from Schistocerca serialis cubense, 369 nucleotides. RefSeq lists it as uncharacterized. The record is from RefSeq and is a predicted model, not a curated record. Lineage: Eukaryota; Metazoa; Arthropoda; Insecta; Orthoptera; Acrididae. The transcript has 4 exons.
UGCCAGGCGAGACGGAAGCACGCGCAAGCCAGCGGCGCUCGUAACGGGACCGUGGCACGCGGCCAGCAACCAGCGCACACCUGUGACACCGGCGGCUGCAGCGCAUCGACAGUUCUAACCGAGCCUUUACUGACGAAGUGACAGAACGCCUCUUCGUAGACUUGCUUGCACCGUGUUUACAUCAUAUUUUCGAUACGCCAAUUAGCGACUCAUUCUGGGCCAUAGAGUUGCUGCUUGAACCAUCCCAUUCGACGGUUCGAUGGCUUAGUCUCCGCUGCAAUCCAAUGCCGUAAUGCUAACUUAGCGUUAACGACAGAUGGCAAAAGUUCAUUUAUUAGCGGUACUUCUGCGUUGGAGCGAUAACACAGG